GUACUUGCUCUGGCAGUACGCAUACUAAAAUUGUAAAGAUACAGAGAUUAUCAUUGCCCUUGAGCAAGGAGGACAGGCAAAUUCCUGAAGCAUCCCAUAUUUCU
Myodes glareolus (Bank vole) is the source of this 104-nucleotide small nuclear RNA. Lineage: Eukaryota; Metazoa; Chordata; Mammalia; Rodentia; Cricetidae. The record is from RefSeq and is a predicted model, not a curated record.